UAGUAGCGUAUAUUAAAGUUGUUGCAGUUAAAAAGCUCGUAGUUGGAUUUCUGGCUUUGCAUUUGCGGUCUGUGGCGCGACUCGUAAUGUUGCGUGUUCUAGAUCCUAAUGUGGCCAUCCUUUCCACGUGCGGCGGCGCCUGCCCUUGAUUGGGUUCGGGCGCCGGCGUGUGGAACAAUUACUUUGAACAAAUUAGAGUGUUUCAAGCAGGCAUUGAUUGCCGUUGAAUAGUAUAGCAUGGAAUAAUAAGAUAGGACUUUGGUUUUAUUUUGUUGGUUUCUGAAAACUGAAGUAAUGAUUGAUAGAGGCAAUUGGGGGUGCUUGUAUUGACUGGCCAGAGGUGAAAUUCUUGGAUUCUGUCAAGACAAACUAAUGCGAAAGCAUUCGCCAAGGGUGUGCUCUUUA
RNAcentral lists this ribosomal RNA (405 nucleotides) under uncultured eukaryote. Its description in RNAcentral is "partial 18S ribosomal RNA". It matches the Rfam family "Eukaryotic small subunit ribosomal RNA", at positions 592 to 975 of the family's 1831-position model. The record is from RNAcentral.